UACGAAGGGUGCUAGCGUUGUUCGGAAUCACUGGGCGUAAAGGGCGCGUAGGCGGCUUUUCAAGUCAGGGGUGAAAUCCGUGGAGCUUAACUCCAGAAUUGCCUUUGAAACUGGGAAGCUUGAGUGUUGGAGGGGAUAGCGGAAUUCCUAAUGUAGAGGUGAAAUUCGUAGAUAUUAGGAGGAACACCGGUGGCGAAGGCGGCUAGUCUGGGUCGAUACUGACGCUGAGGUGCGAAAGCGUGGGGAGCAAACAGGG
RNAcentral lists this ribosomal RNA (256 nucleotides) under uncultured bacterium. RNAcentral's name for it is "partial 16S ribosomal RNA". It matches the Rfam family "Bacterial small subunit ribosomal RNA", at positions 524 to 777 of the family's 1533-position model. The record is from RNAcentral.